Molecule: ribosomal RNA, 801 nt
Filed under: uncultured bacterium
Lineage: Bacteria
Description: bacterial SSU rRNA
Rfam family: Bacterial small subunit ribosomal RNA
Source: RNAcentral
AGAUGAGGUGCUUGCACCUUAUCUUAGCGGCGGACGGGUGAGUAAUGCUUAGGAAUCUGCCAUUUAGUGGGGGACAACAUCUCGAAAGGGAUGCUAAUACCGCAUACGUCCUACGGGAGAAAGCAGGGGAUCUUCGGACCUUGCGCUAAAUGAUGAGCCUAAGUCGGAUUAGCUAGUUGGUGGGGUAAAGGCCUACCAAGGCGACGAUCUGUAGCGGGUCUGAGAGGAUGAUCCGCCACACUGGGACUGAGACACGGCCCAGACUCCUACGGGAGGCAGCAGUGGGGAAUAUUAGACAAUGGGCGAAAGCCUGAUCCAGCAAUGCCGCGUGAGUGAUGAAGGCCUUCGGGUCGUAAAGCUCUUUUACCAGGGAUGAUAAUGACAGUACCUGGAGAAUAAGCUCCGGCUAACUCCGUGCCAGCAGCCGCGGUAAUACGGAGGGAGCUAGCGUUGUUCGGAAUUACUGGGCGUAAAGAGUACGUAGGCGGUUAUUCAAGUCAGAGGUGAAAGCCCGGGGCUCAACCCCGGAACUGCCUUUGAAACUAGAUAGCUAGAGUCUUGGAGAGGUUAGUGGAAUUCCGGGUGUAGCGGUGAAAUGCGUAGAUAUCCGGAGGAACAUCAGUGGCGAAGGCGACUUGCUGGUCUAAUACUGACGCUGAGGAGCGAAAGCGUGGGGAGCAAACGGGAUUAGAUACCCCGGUAGUCCACGCCGUAAACGAUGUCAACUAGCCGUUGGGGGUCUUAGUACCUUUAGUGGCGCAGCUAACGCAUUAAGUUGACCGCCUGGGGAGUACGGUCGCA